UUUGACGAUGGCGGAGAGAAUAGCAUUGUUAUCGUUUCCACUCGAUGGAUUCGCCGAUAAUUCGGACAUAGAUCAGAUUGGGAUCAAUAACACGAGUGCAUAGGAUCAAAUACAUGUGUUACCACGUUGUAUUUUUACUGCUUUUGUUAAAAUUGUGUGUGUGUUGUCAGUUAGGGUCGAAGAUACGCCGAACAAAUUCGGCCUCUCUAUACACACAUAUUUUGCAGGUCUCAUUUGCGACUGCAAAGGUCAACAUAUCAGGAAUUCUGUGAAACUGUGGCACUAUGUAUGGUACGUGGGCGCACAAUUUUUGUCGACAAAAGGAUAUUGGCAAUUUUGUGGGUGCAUACAGGAGCGUGGUUAACCGAUUUGGAAUAAGCAAAGGGACUUUACAUCUCACGGUCAUUUCAACAUGUAGAGUCUUGUCAGUAAUGAUUGAGCAGCACAUCACAUGUCCAGAAUCUCGUCAUGCGGAAUGUAUAGCGUUGUAGGGGCUGUAAAUGGAACUCACAUGGCAUGUCCUGUUCCAACAUCCGAGCAUAGGUCCUCGUUUAACAACAGGAAAGGAUAAUCCAGUUAGUUCUUCAAGUAGUCUGUGACAGUAACUUAAAAUUCUCAAACUUUGGACAUUUUCCCUGGAUGUCCAAGUUCUGUACACGAUAUAGGAUAUUAAAAACGUUGCGUCUCACAAGUGUUGAUCACUCCAAUAUUAGUUUAAAAUGUGUUCAUUGACCGACACUUUUGGCUGCUGAAAAUAAUACA
Long non-coding RNA from Dreissena polymorpha, 762 nucleotides. RefSeq lists it as uncharacterized. The transcript has 4 exons. The record is from RefSeq and is a predicted model, not a curated record. NCBI's taxonomy places the organism in Eukaryota, Metazoa, Mollusca, Bivalvia, Myida, Dreissenidae.